UACGAAGGGGGCUAGCGUUGCUCGGAAUGACUGGGCGUAAAGGGCGCGUAGGCGGUUUUGACAGUCAGACGUGAAAUUCCUGGGCUCAACCUGGGGGCUGCGUUUGAUACGUCGGGACUGGAGUGCGGAAGAGGGUCGUGGAAUUCCCAGUGUAGAGGUGAAAUUCGUAGAUAUUGGGAAGAACACCGGUGGCGAAGGCGGCGACCGGGUCCGUGAAUGACUUUGAGGCGCGAAAGCGUGGGGAGCAAACAGG
This 253-nucleotide ribosomal RNA is filed under the name uncultured bacterium. RNAcentral describes it as "partial 16S ribosomal RNA". It matches the Rfam family "Bacterial small subunit ribosomal RNA", at positions 524 to 776 of the family's 1533-position model. The record is from RNAcentral.